RNAcentral lists this transfer RNA (72 nucleotides) under Hippeastrum papilio. RNAcentral describes it as "tRNA-Asn". The stretch from base 24 to 72 matches the Rfam family "tRNA", at positions 1 to 48 of the family's 71-position model. Rfam says of the family: Transfer RNA (tRNA) molecules are approximately 80 nucleotides in length. Their secondary structure includes four short double-helical elements and three loops (D, anti-codon, and T loops). Further hydrogen bonds mediate the characteristic L-shaped molecular structure. tRNAs have two regions of fundamental functional importance: the anti-codon, which is responsible for specific mRNA codon recognition, and the 3' end, to which the tRNAs corresponding amino acid is attached (by aminoacyl-tRNA synthetases). tRNAs cope with the degeneracy of the genetic code in two manners: having more than one tRNA (with a specific anti-codon) for a particular amino acid; and 'wobble' base-pairing, i.e. permitting non-standard base-pairing at the 3rd anti-codon position. The record is from RNAcentral. RNAcentral also lists the same sequence under 18 other names. Lineage: Eukaryota; Viridiplantae; Streptophyta; Magnoliopsida; Asparagales; Amaryllidaceae.
UAUGAGGUCGAAUCUCCCGUUGUUCCUCAGUAGCUCAGUGGUAGAGCGGUCGGCUGUUAACCGACUGGUCGU